AAUAAGGUGCCUGAUUAAAGGAUUAUUUUGAUAGAAUAAAUUAAGUUAAUAUAUUUUACUCUUAUUA
RNAcentral lists this transfer RNA (67 nucleotides) under Tettigades undata. RNAcentral's name for it is "tRNA-Ile". The record is from RNAcentral. Lineage: Eukaryota; Metazoa; Arthropoda; Insecta; Hemiptera; Cicadidae.